This 496-nucleotide ribosomal RNA is filed under the name uncultured bacterium. Its description in RNAcentral is "partial 16S ribosomal RNA". It matches the Rfam family "Bacterial small subunit ribosomal RNA", at positions 29 to 507 of the family's 1533-position model. The record is from RNAcentral.
AUGAACGCUGGCGGCGUGCCUAAUACAUGCAAGUCGAGCGAACGGACGAGAAGCUUGCUUCUCUGAUGUUAGCGGCGGACGGGUGAGUAACACGUGGAUAACCUACCUAUAAGACUGGGAUAACUUCGGGAAACCGGAGCUAAUACCGGAUAAUAUUUUGAACCGCAUGGUUCAAAAGUAAAAGACGGUCCUGCUGUCACUUAUAGAUGGAUCCGCGCUGCAUUAGCUAGUUGGUAAGGUAACGGCUUACCAAGGCAACGAUGCAUAGCCGACCUGAGAGGGUGAUCGGCCACACUGGAACUGAGACACGGUCCAGACUCCUACGGGAGGCAGCAGUAGGGAAUCUUCCGCAAUGGGCGAAAGCCUGACGGAGCAACGCCGCGUGAGUGAUGAAGGUCUUCGGAUCGUAAAACUCUGUUAUUAGGGAAGAACAUAUGUGUAAGUAACUGUGCACAUCUUGACGGUACCUAAUCAGAAAGCCACGGCUAACUACGUG